GGGGAUUUAGCUCAGUGGUAGAGCACUUGCCUAGUAAGCGCAAAGGCCCUGGGUUCGGUCCCCAGCUCCG
RNAcentral lists this transfer RNA (70 nucleotides) under Rattus norvegicus (Norway rat). It matches the Rfam family "tRNA". Rfam says of the family: Transfer RNA (tRNA) molecules are approximately 80 nucleotides in length. Their secondary structure includes four short double-helical elements and three loops (D, anti-codon, and T loops). The record is from Rfam by way of RNAcentral. Lineage: Eukaryota; Metazoa; Chordata; Mammalia; Rodentia; Muridae.